GUUGUGAGUAGGUCAACAUGGAAUCGAUCACUUCUAGUAAGAGGAGAUCGCAUCCUGUGUAUUCUCAUUCGUAGAUGACUUAGAAAAAAAUUUUUGGCCAAAAGUAGGAAAGAGAUUAGAAAGAGUUUUUAAUACUUCUUCAUUGGAGUCAUCAUUGGUUAAUUGAAAAUUGAUAUGAAUGUGUGUUUGAGUUUGACAUGAUUUUAUACUUAUGAACAUAUUC
RNAcentral lists this long non-coding RNA (223 nucleotides) under Elaeis guineensis (African oil palm). RNAcentral's name for it is "long non-coding RNA (EGUI_LNC070606)". Lineage: Eukaryota; Viridiplantae; Streptophyta; Magnoliopsida; Arecales; Arecaceae. The record is from RNAcentral.